This is a small nucleolar RNA of Prolemur simus (greater bamboo lemur), 132 nucleotides long. Lineage: Eukaryota; Metazoa; Chordata; Mammalia; Primates; Lemuridae. The record is from Ensembl.
UUGCCUGUGGAAGUGUCUGCUCCUCAUUCCUUUGUGAGCAGGAAUACAUUCAUAGCACGCUACAUCAAGAAAGUUCUCAGGGCUGCCAAACUUACAGUAAAGGGUGAGUUAUAGUAUAUUUCUCCUACAGAA